RNAcentral lists this transfer-messenger RNA (399 nucleotides) under Gammaproteobacteria bacterium. It matches the Rfam family "transfer-messenger RNA". Rfam says of the family: Bacterial tmRNA, also known as 10Sa RNA or SsrA, is named for its dual tRNA and mRNA-like properties. The record is from RNAcentral. RNAcentral also lists the same sequence under 2 other names. Lineage: Bacteria; Pseudomonadati; Pseudomonadota; Gammaproteobacteria.
GGGGAUGACAGGCUUCGACGGGAGAGGCUGGUCCCGGAUUGCGAGCCGAGAGGUGCCGACCUCGUAAAAUCAGCACACAAACUUAAGUGCCAACCGCACUGACUAUGCUGCUCUUCCUCUCGCUGCGUAAAACCAGCUAGAUAGAGCGCCUGGCUCGAAAGAGCCACGUCCGCCUGCAUCGAUCUCCGGCCGAUCGUAGGACGGGCGACACAAAGUCGGAGUGCCGUGCACGACACCGCUAACUGUACGUAAGAUAAGCUUUCGGGCUUAAGCGGUUGACCAGAUAAAAACUUUUGUCGGUUGUAGAUUUAUCUGGCGACAAUCAACAACUGACUACGCUCGUAGAUAUUCGAGGAUCGAAUCUUUCGGACGCGGGUUCGAUUCCCGCCAUCUCCACCU